RNAcentral lists this ribosomal RNA (468 nucleotides) under uncultured bacterium. RNAcentral's name for it is "partial 16S ribosomal RNA". It matches the Rfam family "Bacterial small subunit ribosomal RNA", at positions 28 to 507 of the family's 1533-position model. The record is from RNAcentral.
GACGAACGCUGGCGGCGUGCUUAACACAUGCAAGUCGAACGGAAAGGCCCUGCUUUUGUGGGGUGCUCGAGUGGCGAACGGGUGAGUAACACGUGAGUAACCUGCCCUUGACUUUGGGAUAACUUCAGGAAACUGGGGCUAAUACCGGAUAGGAGCUCCUGCUGCAUGGUGGGGGUUGGAAAGUUUCGGCGGUUGGGGAUGGACUCGCGGCUUAUCAGCUUGUUGGUGGGGUAGUGGCUUACCAAGGCUUUGACGGGUAGCCGGCCUGAGAGGGUGACCGGCCACAUUGGGACUGAGAUACGGCCCAGACUCCUACGGGAGGCAGCAGUGGGGAAUAUUGCACACUGGGCGGAAGCCUGAUGCAGCAACGCCGCGUGCGGGAUGACGGCCUUCGGGUUGUAAACCGCUUUCGCCUGUGACGAAGCGUGAGUGACGGUAAUGGGUAAAGCAGCACCGGCUAACUACGUG